GGGGGAACAACACCAAGGCUAAUAAAAUCACACACAGAGAGAAAAAGAUAGAAUAAAAAAUGGAUAAGAUAGAGCACAAGAUGGUAGCUGUAAAUGGCUUAAAUAUGCACAUAGCAGAAUUAGGCCAAGGCCCAACAAUCCUCUUCAUCCAUGGAUUCCCUGAGCUCUGGUACUCAUGGCGCCACCAAAUGGUCUACUUAGCUGAACGUGGGUACCGUGCUGUUGCACCUGACUUACGGGGUUAUGGAGAUACUACUGGUGCACCCCUUAACGACCCUUCAAAGUUCAGUAUUUUUCACCUUGUAGGUGAUGUUGUUGCACUGCUUGAAGCCAUUUCUCCUAAUGAAGAAAAGGUGUUUGUCGUUGCACACGACUGGGGUGCGUUAAUUGCUUGGCAUCUAUGUCUCUUUAGGCCAGAUAAAGUUAAAGCCUUGGUGAAUUCGAGUGUCCAUUUUUUCCCGCGGAAUCCAAAUAUGAAUACUGUUGAGGGGCUAAAGGCUGUAUAUGGGGAAGAUCAUUAUAUCUCGAGAUUUCAGGUACCGGGUGAUAUUGAAGCUGAAUUUGCUCCAAUUGGUGCUAAGUCUGUUCUUAAGAAAAUAUUGACAUACCGCGAUCCUGCACCUUUUUAUUUUCCUAAAGGCAAAGGUCUUGAAGCUCUUCCUGAUGCUCCGGUUGCCCUUUCAUCGUGGCUUUCUGAGGAAGAGUUAGAUUACUAUGCAAACAAGUUUGAGAAGACUGGUUUCACUGGUGGAGUUAACUAUUACCGCGCUUUACCCAUAAACUGGGAACUCACAGCACCAUGGACAGGGGCUCAACUUAAAGUUCCGACCAAGUUUAUCGUCGGGGAAUUCGACUUGGUUUAUCAUAUACCAGGUGCUAAAGAGUACAUACACAAUGGUGGAUUUAAGAAUGAUGUUCCAUUGUUGGAGGAAGUUGUGGUUUUAGAAGGUGCAGCUCACUUUGUCAAUCAAGAAAGGCCACAUGAGAUUAGCAAACACAUCUAUGACUUCAUUCAAAACUUCUAAACUUUCUCUAUCGUACGCUGUAUUUUGUGUAAGCAGUGUUCGUUAAAAUAAGUUCGAAUUUGGAACAUUAUAAUAAUAUUUAAGUAAAUGUAUGUGAUAAUAACUACAUUCACAGUUGGUGAAUAUUUUAUUACUUGCACAAAAUUUCAAUAAAAC
This 1181-nucleotide unclassified non-coding RNA is filed under the name Hevea brasiliensis (rubber tree). The record is from RNAcentral. Lineage: Eukaryota; Viridiplantae; Streptophyta; Magnoliopsida; Malpighiales; Euphorbiaceae.